AUGCCAUUGUGAGGGCAAAUCUUGAUCAGGUGCUUGUACCUAUUCUACGCAUCACAAAGAGUUUCUCUAUUUUUUUGUUGAAAGUUUGCAAUGUCUCUCCUCUUUUU
Cucumis melo (muskmelon) is the source of this 107-nucleotide non-coding RNA. The record is from Rfam. NCBI's taxonomy places the organism in Eukaryota, Viridiplantae, Streptophyta, Magnoliopsida, Cucurbitales, Cucurbitaceae.